This is a long non-coding RNA of Oryzias melastigma (Indian medaka), 341 nucleotides long. RefSeq lists it as uncharacterized. The transcript is spliced from 4 exons. NCBI's taxonomy places the organism in Eukaryota, Metazoa, Chordata, Actinopteri, Beloniformes, Adrianichthyidae. The record is from RefSeq and is a predicted model, not a curated record.
AGGGAGCCCCUCCCUCUAAAAGCACUCUGUGUGGGGAAGAUGAGAGCCAGAGCAAAGCUCAGAGGAACCAACCUGGACCUGGAUCCAGCUGUGUGUCCUUCAGGAGUGACAAAUCAAAGAAGGAGAAUCCUGACUUCAAAGACAUCAGUUCAGGAGUAAAACAGAUCCAUGAGAGACUCAGAUCUGUAUCUGAACCCAGCUGUGUGUCCUUCAGGAGUGACCGGUCAAAGGAUAAAUUUCUCACCUUUAAAUCAUCAUCAUCUUCUUCUGCAGAGAGAGUGGACCAGCAGAGCUCAGAGACUCCCAGUGGUCCGUCUGUCCAGCAGCAUCAAACACAGCUG